UUCAACCUAAGAAAAGAGAACAUUGUCAGGUCCAUAUUUAAAAUAUAAUGCCUUGACCUUUACAGAAAAGUUUCAAGCCUCCUGCCAUCACCAGAAUUCACAGAAUCUACUCUUCUUACCUAACUGUACUGUGUUCUCCCUGACUUUGCUUCUGAUAGUGGGUGCCAUGAACGUGUUUACUGUCAGAUUACUGUAUAGUGAGUACAUAGGUCCCUCCCAUGGCCACAUGAACCAAGUGAAGUGAGAUUCUGGCGACACUCAACAUUCACCAAUUAUGUUGACCAGCAUCUUGAAAAAUUCCUUAAUUUUUCUCUCUUGUCUAGCUUCCUCUCAUCAGUCAGCCUUUACAACUUAGGCUACAGUCAACAAAUAUUUGGUUUCUUCUGCCUCUCCCCUCAUUAGGACUUCAGAUAAACAGCCCUCCCUGUCAGCCUGGACUUGGCGCCUUUGUUGGAAAUUUCAGAACUGACUGCCCAGGGCCCUCACGUGAGCAUCAAUAAGAACUGGUCCCUCUUUUCUAAAGUCUACCUCGGGGAUUUGUAGUGCAAGUACUAUCUUAGAUUUCCUCCCAUCUCUCUAACUACUCUUUGUUGUAAAUAUUUAUGUAUUUAUUUGGCUGUGUCAGGUCUUAGUUGCGGUAUGUGGUAUCUUUAGUUGGGACAUUCAAGAUCUUUAGCUGCAGCAUAUGAACUCUUAGUUGCGGCAUGCAUAAUCUACUUUCGAACCCAGGCCCCCUGCAUUGGGAGUGUAGAGUCUUAUCCACUGAACCACUGGGGAAGUCCCUCUAACUACUCCUUCUACACUUCCCUUCCUGUCUGUUUCUUUUUAUCUUUUUAAUGUAAAUAUCACCAAGCUUCACUGAGAGUUCUCUUUCACUUCUCUUUACCUAGAUUUACCUCCUUGGCCUUGUCCAUCAUCAUCAAGGGCCUGCCUCACAUUCCAUCAAGAUACACCAAUAAUAAAUUAAGCUUGCUUCUGAUUUUCUUACUUCCACUCAUUUAUACUAGCAAGGUUGUCUUUGCUAUGGUCAGGACAUGCUCAUAAAGAGCUCAACAACCUUGCCUUGUUGAGAGUCUAUACUUUGAUUGGAUUUCUCUUGAAGUUUACCUUCUUACCUCUUUGUCAUUUCCUGUAGGCAGAAUCACUUUCUAUUGAUUUCCUCAUAAUCAAGAAAUAAACGAAAAUAGGUACAGAGGGAGACAAAAACUAGAAAGCCUAGCUUAUAAAAUCCUUUCCUCAUUUUCCAUCAGAGUCCUGAGGCCCAACUCUCAGAGUCUGACUUCCUCUCUGAGAACCUAACUUUUCCCUUCUUGGCUGAUAUCAGGAAAAUGCACUCCCUUCUGGACAGAUGUCAGCUCUCACCUACAAAGUUAAUCUUUAUUCUGUGGGCAAAGGAUCUGAGGUUCCACACAGUAAAAACCCUACAGAUGCCCCCAAGGAUGAAGUGAAGGAUGGCUAGGAAAUGGAACCAACACAGUGGAAAGUCUGUGACUAAAACUAGAGCCAAAAUGCAGUAAAAGUAUCCAUUCUACCUGCCGCUUGCUGAAUGCAUUCAUUGCCCCAAUUCUUCACCCCUCCUUGGCCUAGGUCUUUCACAUGUGGCCUUACAGUUCCUCUCAUUAAAAAGGCUGAGUAUAUUUUGCCAGCCUUUGACUUGGGUUCAGCCAUGUGACUUGCUUUGACUAAAGCCAUGUUUGUUGUAUAACUGGGCUUGCUAUCUUUUUUUUUUGGCGGUGGCUUGGCAGGGUGGGUGUGGAGGGGCCUUGCUAUCUUGUACCUCUGACACUGAUAUGCAAACAUGUUUGUGUGUCCUAGGAAGAAGAUGGAAAACAUAGGAGUCAGGGCGAGACUGCCUGAGCCAGGCCAAGCCUAAGCUCACAGGAAGAUGGCAUUGCCCAGCCUCCCUGCAGUUAGGUGGAGUCAUGUGACCAGGUUCCAACUAAUGGAAUGUGAGGGAAGGUGCCUCCUACCUCAACCCUCUUUGGACUUUGCUGUGAGAAAAAAAAUGUUUACUGUGUGAAUAAGUCAUUGAGAUUUGGAAGCUGUUUGGAGGAGCUUAUGUUUGGAAGAGGUAAUCAAGACAAUGUUGCCCCUUGAACUGGACCUGGGCAAAUCAGAGCCUCCUCACCCACUCCCACGUGUUUGGAAUGUAUGCUCUGCCCACUGUUCCCACAGUGGGUGUGUUCCAAGGACCCUGCCUUCAGAGAGUAAGGUAUUCUGAGACCAUCUGGAUGGUAUAUGUGACUGAACCCAGCAGUUAAUGCCUCUGUAUGAACUUGAAGAUUCCAGUGGGUGGGUGUAGAGACCUACUCAUCUUGGUGUCACCCAAGACAAACCUUGUAAGUUCCCUGGCUUAUUAAACCUGCCACCUUCCAA
Cervus elaphus (red deer) is the source of this 2376-nucleotide long non-coding RNA. RefSeq lists it as uncharacterized. Lineage: Eukaryota; Metazoa; Chordata; Mammalia; Artiodactyla; Cervidae. The transcript is spliced from 3 exons. The record is from RefSeq and is a predicted model, not a curated record.